CUUGAAGAAGCGUUUUGUCUACAUGGACAGAAAUUGCUCCCUUAAGGGCGCGCUUUAUGUCCACAUGGACAAAACGCUUCUUCAAGG
Molecule: non-coding RNA, 87 nt
Organism: Gossypium raimondii (Peruvian cotton)
Lineage: Eukaryota; Viridiplantae; Streptophyta; Magnoliopsida; Malvales; Malvaceae
Source: Rfam